Molecule: signal recognition particle RNA, 96 nt
Filed under: Acidiferrobacteraceae bacterium
Lineage: Bacteria; Pseudomonadati; Pseudomonadota; Gammaproteobacteria; Acidiferrobacterales; Acidiferrobacteraceae
Description: signal recognition particle sRNA small type
Rfam family: Bacterial small signal recognition particle RNA
About the family: The signal recognition particle (SRP) is a universally conserved ribonucleoprotein involved in the co-translational targeting of proteins to membranes. Archaeal SRP consists of a 7S RNA and homologues of the eukaryotic SRP19 and SRP54 proteins. In most bacteria, the SRP consists of a 4.5S RNA and the Ffh protein (a homologue of the eukaryotic SRP54 protein).
Source: RNAcentral
AUUGGUCUUCCUGGUGGCGAUUGGUUGUAAACCCGGUCAGGUCCGGAAGGAAGCAGCCGCAGCAGCUGUGUCGAGUAUCGGGACUGGGCUGAUCGG